RNAcentral lists this long non-coding RNA (235 nucleotides) under Capsicum annuum. RNAcentral's name for it is "long non-coding RNA (CANN_LNC017972)". The record is from RNAcentral. Lineage: Eukaryota; Viridiplantae; Streptophyta; Magnoliopsida; Solanales; Solanaceae.
UCUAUUUUGUGUUCUUGGCCGAAAUUGUGUUAUUGUUGUGUCUUGACCGUGAUUUUUACUUGUUUUGUUGUUUCUAGUGUUAGUUUUCUUCAUCUCUAACACUCUUGAGUCUAAAUCUAAGUUUGAGCUUACAUUGUUGGUGUUGUUUUCGUGAACAUAGGGCUUGGCCGAAUUGUUGCUGAAACAUUGUUGUGGUGGACUGUUUUGGCCUUGUGAUCUUUAUCUUGUUGUUGUU